Molecule: long non-coding RNA, 443 nt
Organism: Myiozetetes cayanensis
Lineage: Eukaryota; Metazoa; Chordata; Aves; Passeriformes; Tyrannidae
Exons: 3
Source: RefSeq, a predicted model, not a curated record
ACCUGCUCUGUGCCCUGCGGGCCCGGGGGCACCGUCCCGAGGCGGUCGGGGGGCUGCAGGUCCUGGGGGGGUUCCUGAGGGGGCCCCUCACCAAGAUGGGGGGGCGCAUCAAGACCUGGAGGCGCCGCUGGUUCCACCUCGACCCCCACAGGAGGGUCCUGGCCUACUAUGGGGACCAGGCGCAGACGAAGCUCAAGGGGGUGAUUUAUUUCCAGGCCAUCGAGGAGGUUUGAGUAACGACCCGGCAGGGUGGCCGGAAAGAGCCCCAACCCCCGGCUGACCUUCUGCCUCAAGACCUACGAGCGGCUCUUCUGGCUCGUGGCUCCCUCGGCCGAGGCGCUCCGGAUCUGGAUGGACGCCGUGCUCACCCUCACCCGCGGCGGGGCGGCCUUCUGAACCUCAAAAAAAACCCAAACAACCCACAGGAUCCCCCUCCCCAGAAA